This 553-nucleotide long non-coding RNA is filed under the name Orussus abietinus. RNAcentral's name for it is "uncharacterized LOC105701825, transcript variant X1". The record is from RNAcentral. Lineage: Eukaryota; Metazoa; Arthropoda; Insecta; Hymenoptera; Orussidae.
GACUUCCUCGAGCCCGGCUCUUCCUCGGCGCGCGUCUCUCCGUUCCCUCUCCGACUCGACUCUCGACUCGAGGUCGAUUGAGAAACUUCUCGUCGAGGAAGAUCGUCUCCAGGCGAAUCGGUCGAGAAGAGGAGAUGGAUCCACAGGUCGAUCGAGAAACUUCUCGUCGAGGAGGAUCGUCUCCAGGCGAAUCGGUCGAGAAGAGGAGAUGGAUCCUCUCGGGACCGAGAGGACGACUAGAGGAACACAGCGCCGGAGGUCGCGUUUUAUGCCGGGCUUCCAAGUUCACCGCUCAUGGGAACGCGUUGACAUCAUUCCAACGUCGCUCCGAUGGACGCCUUGCAACGAGAAAAUGCAGGGCUCUUUCGUCGACGGGGUUCGGAGGAAAGUCCGCGAAGAGGACGCGAAGACGAUCUUGGGCUCCGGGCAAUCGAAGAGAGAAUCGCAAUCGAGAGAAGAAGAGAAGGAAAAAGGAGAGCACGACGGUGGCAAAGGUGGAAGGUGGCCGGACCUUUUUUCCCGGGGCGUUUCUCCCUGCUUUCCUUCUUUUUCA